CAAAAUGUAGUUUAGUCAUAAACACUUUGCUUACACCAAAAAAACGUCUGUUAAAAUCAGACCAUUUUGA
This 70-nucleotide transfer RNA is filed under the name Grandisonia sechellensis. RNAcentral describes it as "tRNA-Val". It matches the Rfam family "tRNA". Rfam says of the family: Transfer RNA (tRNA) molecules are approximately 80 nucleotides in length. Their secondary structure includes four short double-helical elements and three loops (D, anti-codon, and T loops). The record is from RNAcentral. Lineage: Eukaryota; Metazoa; Chordata; Amphibia; Gymnophiona; Indotyphlidae.